Molecule: ribosomal RNA, 251 nt
Filed under: uncultured prokaryote
Description: partial 16S rRNA
Rfam family: Bacterial small subunit ribosomal RNA
Source: RNAcentral
ACGUAGGGAGAAAGCGUUAUCAGGAUUUAUUGGGUGUAAAGGGUGCGUAGGCGGGAAGGCAAGUUGAAUGUGAAAUACCGGGGCUCAACUCCGGGGCUGCGUUCAAAACUGAUUUUCUUGAGUACAGCAGAGGCAAGCGGAAUUCGCAGUGUAGGGGUAAGAUGCGUAGAUAUUGCUAGGAGGACCGGUGGCGAAGGCGGCUUGCGGGGCUUCAGCUGACGCUGAUGCACGGAAGUGUGGUGAUCAAACAG